RNAcentral lists this ribosomal RNA (486 nucleotides) under uncultured bacterium. Its description in RNAcentral is "partial 16S ribosomal RNA". It matches the Rfam family "Bacterial small subunit ribosomal RNA", at positions 30 to 507 of the family's 1533-position model. The record is from RNAcentral.
AUUGAACGCUGGCGGCAUGCCUAACACAUGCAAGUCGAACGGCAGCACGGGUGCGUGCACCUGGUUGCGAGUGGCGAACGGGUGAGUAAUACAUGGGAACAUGUCCUGUAGUGGGGGAUAGCCCGGCGCAAGCCGGAUUAAUACCGCACACGAUCUACGGAAGAAAGCGGGGGGCCUUCCGGCCUCGCGCUUUCGGGCUGGUCGAUGGCGGAUUAGCUAGCUGGUGGGGUAAAGGCCUACCAAGGCGACGAUCAGUAGCUGGUCUGAGAGGACGACCAGCCACACUGGAACUGAGACACGGCCCAGACUCCUACGGGAGGCAGCAGUGGGGAAUUUUGGACAAUGGGCGAAAGCCUGAUCCAGCAAUGCCGCGUGUAUGAAGAAGGCCUUCGGGUUGUAAAGCACUUUUGUCCGGAAAGAAAUCCUUAGCCCUAAUACGGUCGGGGGAUGACGUUACCGGAAGAAUAAGCACCGGCUAACUACGUG